RNAcentral lists this ribosomal RNA (229 nucleotides) under uncultured bacterium. RNAcentral describes it as "partial 16S ribosomal RNA". It matches the Rfam family "Bacterial small subunit ribosomal RNA", at positions 568 to 796 of the family's 1533-position model. The record is from RNAcentral.
UGCGCAGGCGGGCUUGUAAGUCAGUGGUGAAAUUCUGCCGCUUAACGGUAGAACUGCCAUUGAUACUGCAAGUCUUGAAUAUGGUUGAGGUAGGCGGAAUGUGUUGUGUAGCGGUGAAAUGCAUAGAUAUGACACAGAACGCCAAUUGCGAAGGCAGCUUACUAAGCCAUUAUUGACGCUCAGGCACGAAAGCGUGGGGAGCGAACAGGAUUAGAUACCCUGGUAGUCC